GAAAUGCGAUAAGUAAUGUGAAUUGCAGAAUUCAGUGAAUCAUCGAAUCUUUGAACGCACCUUGCGCUCCUUGGUAUUCCUUGGAGCAUGCCUGUUUGAGUAUCAUGAAAUCUUCAAAGUAAAUCUUUUGUUAACUCAAUUGGUUUCUACUUUGGUAUUGGAGGUCUUUGCAGCUUAACACCUGCUCCUCUUUGUUCAUUAGCUGGAUCUCAGUGUUAUGCUUGGUUCCACUCGGCGUGAUAAGUUAUCUAUCGCUGAGGACACUGUAAAAGGUGGCCAAGGUAAAUGCAGAUGAACCGCUUCUAAUAGUCCAUUGACUUGGACAAUACUUUUAUGAUCUGAUCUCAAAUCAGGUAGGACUACCCGCUGAACUUAAGC
Molecule: unclassified non-coding RNA, 378 nt
Filed under: plant metagenome
Description: partial contains 5.8S ribosomal RNA, internal transcribed spacer 2, and large subunit ribosomal RNA
Rfam family: 5.8S ribosomal RNA (bases 1-105)
Source: RNAcentral